GGGUGAAAUCCUCGCUGUCCGCCACCCGGCCGAGCCACAUGAGCACGCGGAGCUGGGCGGGAACCACGCCCUCCUGCCCUUGGCCCUCCGGAAGCGGCCACAGGCGCGGGGCCCCGCCCGGGAGAACAUGACGGUGUGGGCGGGCACCCGGGCGAAGGCCACGCGCCGGUCCCGGCACAGCAGCCAAACCACCACGUCCGGCACGCUCACCUGGGGCUGCUCACACCGCAGGCCAGGGGUCAGGUGAGGCUCUAGCCCCCGGCCCCACGCCCCCUCCGCUGGACCCUCCCUCCGGGUGACCGCAGAGGGGCCCCGCCAACCCUGGCUGGGGGCUCUCGGCUGGGACAGGGCAGCAACCUGCCGAAUGCCGACCGGACAGAGGACCGGCCGGAGGAGGGGCCCCUUUUCCCUCCCGGUGGUGCUCAUCAACUGGGUCCUCUCGCCCAGUCGCCGGGCAGGCCUGGGUUCCCUAGGUGACCCCUCACCCCGGGGUCGUCCACGCCCGCCGGAGGGCUGAACGGAUCCGGGGAGCGAGGGAGAGGGAGGAGUCGGGCGGGGUCGGGACGAGGCUCAGAGGCGACCGGAGCCCACCUCGGGGAGGACGGAGCCGAGGCGGUGCAGCCAGCCUUCGGCUUCCGGCACCAGCGGCCCGCGCCCCACGGCCUUGGCUUCCUGGGCCAGCUCCUGGAGGAGCAGGCCGCGCAGCUGCCGUAAGUGCUGGUCCAGGACGGUGGCGCCGGCCCGCCCCUUCAGGCUGGGCAGAGGCUGCCUGGACGGGGACGGGAGAGGGCCGCUUCGGCUCCCUCCGCUCCCGCUUGCGGCGGGCCCGGGGCUCCGCCGUGCCUCCCCCGUCCCCGCCGGCCGCUCCUGUGACCCACCCUUCCGGCGUGGCCCAACCGUCCUAGGAAUGUGCCCUUCCACCGCGGACUCCGGGAAGAGUCGGAAAUUCGGUGCUCACCCCUCCACCUUGGGUGGGGCCCACUCCCUUCCUCAGCCUCGGAGAGGCCUCCACACACGCGCCCCCCUCUCAACCCACGGCUCAGUCCAGUCCCACCUGCAGUCUGCCCUCACGUCCGCCAGCAGCUUCUCCCGCAGGCUGGGCAGCUGUGGGUCCUUCGGGUUCCGGAUGGCUUUGAGCGCUUCCAGCCGACUGACGGGCCUCGGGCCGCCUCCCCCGCCGCCCGCCCCUCACCAGCCGGGUGUGGAUGGCGUGCAGGACGUUGAGGGCAUCCAUUCGGUAGCCGACGUCUUCCCAGAAAGAGGUGACCGCCACGACAGGCUUGGCGUCGGCCCAGGGCAAGUAAUGCUGAGGUAAACGAGGCACAGAGAAGCGAAGUGACUUGCCC
Ornithorhynchus anatinus (platypus) is the source of this 1346-nucleotide long non-coding RNA. RefSeq lists it as uncharacterized. The record is from RefSeq and is a predicted model, not a curated record. NCBI's taxonomy places the organism in Eukaryota, Metazoa, Chordata, Mammalia, Monotremata, Ornithorhynchidae. The transcript has 4 exons.